Molecule: transfer RNA, 87 nt
Filed under: Nioella sp.
Lineage: Bacteria; Pseudomonadati; Pseudomonadota; Alphaproteobacteria; Rhodobacterales; Paracoccaceae
Also listed under: 1 other name
Description: tRNA-Leu
Rfam family: tRNA
About the family: Transfer RNA (tRNA) molecules are approximately 80 nucleotides in length. Their secondary structure includes four short double-helical elements and three loops (D, anti-codon, and T loops).
Source: RNAcentral
GCCCGAGUGGCGGAAUUGGUAGACGCAGGGGAUUCAAAAUCCCCCGCCAGCAAUGGCUUGUCGGUUCGAGUCCGACCUCGGGUACCA